This 1076-nucleotide long non-coding RNA is filed under the name Podarcis lilfordi (Lilford's wall lizard). The record is from RNAcentral. Lineage: Eukaryota; Metazoa; Chordata; Lepidosauria; Squamata; Lacertidae.
CUCCAGAUGUUGUUGGACCCAAAUUCCCAUCAGCCCCUGUCAGCAUAGCCAAUGCUCAGGGAAGAUGGGAGCUGUAGUCCAGCAGCAUAUGGGGGGCAAUAGCCCACUCCACCCCUGGAACAGGCAAAUCCAUGGUGGCUCUCUCAACAGCCAUGACAGUUACCUGGAAUUUCCAGGUUUAUAUGCUAAUAACAAACAACAAGUAAAGGCCAACAGCUUCACUUCCCUUCUUCAGAGUUCCUCAGAGGCAUCUGUCAAUCUGUGGUUGGAAAUAAAAUGCUGGACUAAGUGGAUCUUGUUCCAAUUCACUAUACCAUUAUUUUACUUUCUUUCUGUCUCAGCUUUCAAUACCCUGCCCAACUGACUCCGUGUAGUUCUGCACUGCAAACCUCAAGUCAAGUAUGUUUUCUGUGGGCCAACAGAACGGUUAUCUGCAAACAUAUCGUUUGCGUGAGACAUCCCUCCAGAAUCAAUGUUGGUGUUAAAAUUGCAGGCGGCUCAAUUUCUUUCUACUGGAAGUACAUAUGGGAGCAAUAAAAGCUGUCUCCAUCAGAUGACACAUCAGAUUGGGAUUCCCUUUUAACCAUCACCAGUGGGCUGCUGUCCAAGUGGAGAUGGAAGAACAGGGAGCAGUUUUGGCAAAAUGCCACAAGGCUAGCACUAAAGCACAGAGGAAGUGUUGGAUGAGUAGUAAGCAGGAGCUCCUCCUGUCUGUUUUAUGCUUUGCCAGUGGCUUGUUCCAUAAACCAGCAGCGUAGCAAAUGUUAAUCUCCACAGUGAAGAAAUAAUUGACCCAGUCUUGUACUCAGUACAUCCUGUUGUGUGGCUAUAGAGCAGUAGUGAGGAACCAGUGGCCCUCCUGACAUUAUUGGACUACAACUUCCAUUAUCCCUGGGCCAUUGGCCAUGAUAGGAGUCUGGAAUUUUAAAGAUCUGUCAUUUACUGUACAUUGCUUGCUAAUAAAUUGUAUGGUAAAGGAAAUCCACAUAUCUCACUACUAUUUAUAUGGAUAACACUUUCCAUGCUCAUUUGUCUGUAUUUUGCUUAUAUCUAUUUUUGAAUUUGAUAUUUUGCUG